UAUUGCGCAAUGGGGGAAACCCUGACGCAGCAACGCCGCGUGGAGGAUGAAGGCCUUCGGGUCGUAAACUCCUGUCAGGUGGGAAGAAUGGGCUGCGGCAAACAACCGCAGUCGUUGACGGUACCACCAGAGGAAGCCCCGGCUAACUCCGUGCCAGCAGCCGCGGUAAUACGGAGGGGGCAAGCGUUAUUCGGAAUCAUUGGGCGUAAAGGGCGCGUAGGCGGCCUGGCAAGUCAAAGGUGAAAUCCCUCGGCCCAACCGAGGAACUGCCUUUGAAACUGCUUGGCUCGAGGCCGGGAGAGGGUAGCGGAAUUCCCAGUGUAGCGGUGAAAUGCGUAGAUAUUGGGAGGAACACCAGUGGCGAAGGCGGCUACCUGGACCGGUUCUGACGCUGAGGCGCGAAAGCGUGGGGAGCAAAC
This 419-nucleotide ribosomal RNA is filed under the name uncultured bacterium. RNAcentral describes it as "bacterial SSU rRNA". It matches the Rfam family "Bacterial small subunit ribosomal RNA", at positions 362 to 773 of the family's 1533-position model. The record is from RNAcentral.